AGCGGGCCCCCAGCCCGCCCCCUCCGGACAUGACACUGCCUUUUAAAGGGCCAUUCUGGGAUCGGGAUCUCACCGCCCAGGAGGAGGGAUCCUGGAGGGCGGGCACUGGGGGCUGCGGGUCAGGGACUCCCCGGACGUGCUUGCGACUUCGCCUGGGGAUGGGAACUACCUAUGCUGUUCCCAAUUCAGCGCCACCGUGACCCUGAGGCGUAAGUCCUCCUCCCAAGCAGAUACCUCCUGCAGCUCUAGAAAGAACUGGAGAGAGGAACGAUUAGAGAUCGGCACAGCUCAGAAGAAGAAAGGAAGGAGAGAAAGGUGGAAUCUCCACACACUGUCUGGCUCCUCAGACAGGCUGGCUGGGGAUGCUUCUGCCCUGGUAGACUGGUCUUGGAUAUACUGGCCCCUGGGCCACCAUGAAACAGCAAGUGCCACCUCUGAGCAUAUGCCCUAAGUGUCUACCUAUGUCCUGAUGAGUCACCCUGGCUGCUCACCCACUACCCCUGAAGCUUAUCUGCUGGGUCCCCAGCACCUUGGUAUGAUUCACCCUUGUUCUGCAGUUUCUGUCUGAGCCUGGCGUGAGGAAGGAUUAUUGCUUGGCCUUUGUAAGUGAAGAGCUUGCACGUCUCACUGCUGCACACUGGUUAAAUGGGGAAGUGGGGGCGGGGAAGGCAGCUGGUUGGUUCUGUCAUUCCCAUCUUAACAUUCCAACACAUUACCCUGUCCCUCCCAUCCAUCAAUCAUUUCACCUGCAAAGCCACAUCUCAUCUCAUUUCUGUUCAGACUGCAAUGGUCCCACCCUCCAAUACCACCUCUCUUUAAAACAAGAGAUUCAUCAAAGCUUUGGGACUGGGGCACUUUUCUCGAUUGCUAAAGUACUUACUUAUACAAGCAUGUGAACUAGAAUUUAAUCCCUGAAACCCAUGUAAAGAGCUGGUCAACUGAUCUGGAAAGAUGGCUCAAGGGUUAAGAGCAUUUACUGCUCUUCUACAAGACCCAGGUUUCAUUCCCAGCACCCAUAUGGUAGCUCACAACCAUCUGUAACUCCAGUUCCAACAUUCUUUCUCUGGCUUUCAUGGGCACCAGGCACACAGACAAGGUGCAGGUAAAACGCAUAUACAAAUAAAGUAAAUCUUAGAGAAAAAAAAAAAAAGAAGCUAAGCAUGAUGGUACACCUUUAAUCCCAACAUUGAAGAAGCAGAAACAGUUUGGAGCUUGCUGGUCAGCCAGCCUAACCUACCUGGUAAGUUCCAGGCCAAUGAGAAAUCCUGUCUCAAAACACCAAGAUAGGCCAAGCACGGUGGCAAUUGCAUUCCGUGCCAGCACUCAGGAAACAGAGGCAGGCAGAUAGAUCUCUGAGUCAGAGGCCAUCCUGAGCUACAUAGCAAAUUCCAAGCCAGCCAGGACUACACAGUAAUACUCCGCCUCUGAAAACCAAAACCCCAAACAAAACAAGAUGUGCACCAGCUGAGUCCACUCUUUCUUGUUCUCUACACUACAGAUCAAUGGUGUGAGCAUAUGCUUAUCAAUGGUGUGAGCAUAUGCUUUUCUAACAGUCUUAAGGAUUGGGGGUAGGAAAAGGCAACUGAAAUUCAUUCGAUCUACCAUUUUGAGCUAAUAUUUAAAGAGGUUGUUUGAAUGCUCAUGGCAUCCCUAUGAACUAAAUAUUAAUUAUCACUUUCAUUUUACCAGUGAGAAAAGCACGAUUAAAGCUAAAGGUGUAUAGUGUGUUUAAGAUGUCAUAGCUGAGAAAAAAAAAACAUGGGCAUCAUAGCAUAUGCCUUUUUAAUUACAAUACUUGGGAAACAGGCAGGUGGAUCUCUAUGAGUCUGAAGCCAGCCUGGUCUAUAUAGUGAGUUCAGGACAUAGCUUGGACUGUGUAGGAAACUCUGUCUGAGAAAAGAAAGAAAGGAAGGAAGGAAGGAAGAAAAAGAAAGAAAGAGAAAAGAACAGAUAUCAUGACUGACAAAGAAUAACACUGCAUUGCUGCUAAAUACAGAAACCAGAGCCAUGUCCCACACUGGUGAGUGAACCACAGUCUCAUCUAACUUUGUAGGUCUCUGUAAACUCUGGAUCCUCUGCCUCAGGACACACUUGAGAACUCCAACUGUACGCCAUGCUGCCAAAGACCUUCCAACACUGCCACUCCAUUUCUGUUCAUCCAUUCAUUCAUUCAUUCACCUGUACAUAGUGUUCUACACUGAGACUAGUUCAUCCAUUCGUCCACCUGCUCAUGACAUCACACACUGAGAAUAGCCAUGUUUUGGACUCUGUAAGAGCAAGCGGGACCUGGUCCCAGUCCUUGUGUACCUCUCUGCUGCUAAGUGGUCCCUCAUCUUUCAGAUGGAGAUGCUGAGAACGGAAGGGAGAAGACUUUCCAAGUUCACAUAGUGAGAGGGGCUGGAGAGACAGUGUGGCUGAUGAAGAGUUUGCCAAUCCUCAGAACUCACAAUUUAAGCAGAGGGUGGGGGAAGAUCUCGGUGUGUUGGUGCACACUUGAAAGUCCAGAAGAUAGGGAUGCAAAGAUCCCUGGGAUUUCUGGCCAGUCAGCUACUCUGGCAGUCCCAGACCCUAUCUCAAAAAGUUAAGGUAGAUGGUGCCUGAGCAGUGAUCCCCAAGGUGUCCCCAAGGUGUCCUCUGGCACAGACUCCCCGCCAUGAAAAAGUGUCAUAAUCACUACAGGGCUGACCAAAUCUCCUCUUUUUUACAAACUUGUUCCUAAUAUUCCCUGCCUUUUUGAAAAUAAAUUAGAUACGGAUACUGUUGAAAAACUGGAUUGCACACUACAGAUAUUUCUCCCAACAGUAGUUGUAGGCCUUACAACAUUUGUCUUAUGUUUCCAAAGCUAAAAUGACUUUUACAUGUUAUUUCUGCUUAGGAUAUGUUGAAAGCUAAGCGUAGUCAUGCAGACCAAUUACUUUGAUGCUGAAGCAGGAUAAUCAUGAGUAUGAACCCAGCUUACUACACAUAUAAUCUCCUUUUCAGACAUAUAAAAUAUGCCUUCUGUAACUUUUUUUAAUUAAAUGAUCCAUAUAGAAAUUCUUAAUGAAUUUCACUAGGUGGUGGUGGCACACACCCUUAAAUCCCAGGACUUGGGAAGCAGAAAGCAGAUCUUUGAGUCUGAAACAAACCUAGUCUACAGAGCAAGACACAGGGAAGCCGAGGCUAAGCAGAAAUCUUGUCUCCAAAAACCAAACCACAACAAAGCAAAAUCUAAAAGAAAAGAAAAGAAAGGAAAAAAAAGAAAAAAAAGUUUAUGAAUUUCAACGACAUUUAUGAAAGUUAGCAUGUUAAUAUUGACAAAUUAAAGGAAAAUAAAUGGAACACACAUGAAAGAUUUGCUGGGUUUUGCAAGUAGACCCAGAUCUAGAUAUUUUCUACAGAGCAGAAAUGACAUGAGAGGCUGAAGAGCUGGCUCAGUGGUUAAGAAUGCAUGCCGUUCUCACAGAGGACCUCAUAGAGACCCACAGUGACUCACAACCACCUGUAACUCCAAUGCCAAAGGGGUUAGAUGCCUGUGACCUUCAAGAGCACCAGCACUCAUACACACAUACAUACUCACUCACUCACUCACACACACACACACACACACACACACACACCUAAUUACAAAUAAAAACAGAUCUUUAAAAUCUACAUGUACCUAAUGUGCAACUACCCUGGGUUCAAUCCCUACCUGCAAAAAUUAAGCAAAACCUAACCUGCACGGCUUACUUAUGAAAUAAUAGUAAUACUCAUGUCCCCACUUGGCUUAAACACCUUUGCAUACGCAUAUUGAAAAGGGUCUCAUUGCAUUCCCCAUAUCCUUUAAACAUAUCCUAUAGCCCAGAGUGGUCUCAAAUUCACCAUCCUCCUACCUCAGCCUCCACAGUACUGGGCUUCAGGUAUACGCUACCAUUCCUGGUCAGCAACUCAGAUUGUUGACAUAUGCGUAUCUGCACUUUUUAAAAAAGUAUGUUGUAUAAGUAUUACUGUGUCAGUAAACACCACAUUAUUCUUCAAUUUCUAACAUGCGUUUGUUUAUUUAUGUAUUGUGUAUACACAACAACCUGCAGGAGAAAUUCUCUCCUUCUACCAUGUGUGCCCCGUGCAGUAGGGUGGUGGCAGGUACUUUUACUUGCUGAGUCAUCUCACCUGUCCACAACAUCAUAUUUAAUUGUAUAAGGCCCCAUUGUGGACCUUACGCUGUACUAUAUUGUCUAAUCAAUACCUUAUUUUUGAAAUUCAAAUUUGAUUUCCAACUUUUGCAACUGCAGAUCAACCUUAAUUAAUAUGCUCACAUUGUGCAAUAGUCUUCAGCUAAGAACUGUGGCUAACAUGGGCUGUAUGAUUUGGAGGAGACUUUAAGUCUUUGUGUCCUAACCUGCAAAAUGAAAUAAAUCCUGUGCUGUAUGUUGUAUUAGCUGA
Molecule: long non-coding RNA, 4404 nt
Organism: Mastomys coucha (southern multimammate mouse)
Lineage: Eukaryota; Metazoa; Chordata; Mammalia; Rodentia; Muridae
Exons: 2
Source: RefSeq, a predicted model, not a curated record